Molecule: microRNA precursor, 65 nt
Filed under: Mesocricetus auratus (golden hamster)
Lineage: Eukaryota; Metazoa; Chordata; Mammalia; Rodentia; Cricetidae
Description: miRNA (ENSMAUG00000002484.1)
Source: RNAcentral
UGGCGUUCUAUGGGAUGGGGGCUGUGCCUUGACACUGAGUGGCAUCCCCUCCCUCCUUCACGCAG